UUAAGUCAGGCAACGAGCGAGACCCACGCCCACAGUUGCCAGCGUGCUCUCUGGAGUGACGGGUACACUGUGGGGACCGCCGCUGCUAAAGCGGAGGAAGGAAUGGGCAACGGUAGGUCAGUAUGCCCCGAAUGUCCCGGGCUACACGCGGGCUACAAUGGUUGGUACAAUGGGUAUCUACCCCGAAAGGGGAUGGAAAUCUCCUAAAGCCAAUCUUAGUUCGGAUUGAGGGCUGCAACUCGCCCUCAUGAAGCUGGAAUCCGUAGUAAUCGCGUUUCAAUAGAACGCGGUGAAUACGUCCCUGCUCCUUGCACA
This 315-nucleotide ribosomal RNA is filed under the name uncultured methanogenic archaeon. RNAcentral describes it as "bacterial SSU rRNA". It matches the Rfam family "Archaeal small subunit ribosomal RNA", at positions 1029 to 1343 of the family's 1478-position model. Lineage: Archaea; Methanobacteriati; Methanobacteriota. The record is from RNAcentral.